UACGAAGGGGGCUAGCGUUGCUCGGAAUCACUGGGCGUAAAGGGCGCGUAGGCGGCGACUUAAGUCGGGGGUGAAAGCCCGUGGCUCAACCACGGAAUGGCCUUCGAUACUGGGUUGCUUGAGUGUGGUAGAGGUUGGUGGAACUGCGAGUGUAGAGGUGAAAUUCGUAGAUAUUCGCAAGAACACCGGUGGCGAAGGCGGCCAACUGGACCAUCACUGACGCUGAGGCGCGAAAGCGUGGGGAGCAAACAGG
RNAcentral lists this ribosomal RNA (253 nucleotides) under uncultured bacterium. RNAcentral's name for it is "partial 16S ribosomal RNA". It matches the Rfam family "Bacterial small subunit ribosomal RNA", at positions 524 to 776 of the family's 1533-position model. The record is from RNAcentral.